GCCCCUAUCGUCUAGCGGCUAGGACAGCGGCUUCUCAAGCCGUUAACCGGGGUUCGAUUCCCCGUGGGGGCACCA
This 75-nucleotide transfer RNA is filed under the name Lacunisphaera sp. Its description in RNAcentral is "tRNA-Glu". It matches the Rfam family "tRNA". From Rfam's summary of the family: Transfer RNA (tRNA) molecules are approximately 80 nucleotides in length. Their secondary structure includes four short double-helical elements and three loops (D, anti-codon, and T loops). Further hydrogen bonds mediate the characteristic L-shaped molecular structure. tRNAs have two regions of fundamental functional importance: the anti-codon, which is responsible for specific mRNA codon recognition, and the 3' end, to which the tRNAs corresponding amino acid is attached (by aminoacyl-tRNA synthetases). tRNAs cope with the degeneracy of the genetic code in two manners: having more than one tRNA (with a specific anti-codon) for a particular amino acid; and 'wobble' base-pairing, i.e. permitting non-standard base-pairing at the 3rd anti-codon position. RNAcentral also lists the same sequence under 2 other names. Lineage: Bacteria; Pseudomonadati; Verrucomicrobiota; Opitutia; Opitutales; Opitutaceae. The record is from RNAcentral.